GGUUGAAAAGCAGUUGACCACUUUAAAUGCAGGGAUUGACAAGGAAUUCAUAGAGAUAAAUUUCGGCCGCGAUUGUGCAAAGGAGUGGAAAGAGGAAAUUCUGAGAGUUGCUUAAGUGGAGCAGUGUUCGUUACAAUCGAGAAAAUCAAAAAUAACAGACGCUGAAAGGGGGAACAUCGUUCAGAUAAUGGGGAAGAAGCCAAAAA
Nematostella vectensis (starlet sea anemone) is the source of this 206-nucleotide long non-coding RNA. RefSeq lists it as uncharacterized. NCBI's taxonomy places the organism in Eukaryota, Metazoa, Cnidaria, Anthozoa, Actiniaria, Edwardsiidae. The record is from RefSeq and is a predicted model, not a curated record. The transcript is spliced from 2 exons.